This 492-nucleotide ribosomal RNA is filed under the name uncultured bacterium. RNAcentral describes it as "partial 16S ribosomal RNA". It matches the Rfam family "Bacterial small subunit ribosomal RNA", at positions 29 to 507 of the family's 1533-position model. The record is from RNAcentral.
AGUGAACGCUGGCGGUAGGCCUAACACAUGCCAGUCGAACGGCAGCACAGUAAGAGCUUGCUCUUACGGGUGGCGAGUGGCGGACGGGUGAGGAAUACAUCGGAAUCUACUUUUUCGUGGGGGAUAACGUAGGGAAACUUACGCUAAUACCGCAUACGACCUACGGGUGAAAGCAGGGGAUCUUCGGACCUUGCGCGAUUGAAUGAGCCGAUGUCGGAUUAGCUAGUUGGCGGGGUAAAGGCCCACCAAGGCGACGAUCCGUAGCUGGUCUGAGAGGAUGAUCAGCCACACUGGAACUGAGACACGGUCCAGACUCCUACGGGAGGCAGCAGUGGGGAAUAGUGGACAAUGGGCGCAAGCCUGAUCCAGCCAUACCGCGUGGGUGAAGAAGGCCUUCGGGUUGUAAAGCCCUUUUGUUGGGAAAGAAAAGCAGCAGGUUAAUACCCCGCUGUUCUGACGGUACCCAAAGAAUAAGCACCGGCUAACUUCGUA